AUUGAACGCUGGCGGCAUGCCUUACACAUGCAAGUCGAACGGCAGCACGGGAGCAAUCCUGGUGGCGAGUGGCGAACGGGUGAGUAAUAUAUCGGAACGUGCCCAGUCGGUGGGGGAUAACGUAGCGAAAGCUACGCUAAUACCGCAUACGAUCUAUGGAUGAAAGCGGGGGAUCGCAAGACCUCGCGCGAUUGGAGCGGCCGAUAUCAGAUUAGCUAGUUGGGUGGGGUAAAAGCUCACCAAGGCGACGAUCUGUAGCUGGUCUGAGAGGACGACCAGCCACACUGGAACUGAGACACGGUCCAGACUCCUACGGGAGGCAGCAGUGGGGAAUUUUGGACAAUGGGCGAAAGCCUGAUCCAGCAAUGCCGCGUGCAGGACGAAGGCCUUCGGGUUGUAAACUGCUUUUGUACGGAACGAAAAAGUCUGCCCUAAUACGGUGGGCUCAUGACGGUACCGUAAGAAUAAGCACCGGCUAACUACGUG
Molecule: ribosomal RNA, 486 nt
Filed under: uncultured bacterium
Lineage: Bacteria
Description: bacterial SSU rRNA
Rfam family: Bacterial small subunit ribosomal RNA
Source: RNAcentral